This 391-nucleotide unclassified non-coding RNA is filed under the name Melitaea cinxia (Glanville fritillary). RNAcentral describes it as "misc RNA ENSMCXG00005010566.1". The record is from RNAcentral. Lineage: Eukaryota; Metazoa; Arthropoda; Insecta; Lepidoptera; Nymphalidae.
UUUUGUAAUUGGUUGCUAUUAAUAUUUUCGUUUGUGUGUAUAUUGACAUUUUAACAUUUAUAUAUAUUAAGAUAUUGCUGCGUAUGAACAACCACUAUUGUUUAUUUUAUACGAAAUACGUUUACUGAAAGAUUAGAACUAUAUAGUAUUUAUAUCAUAAUAUCAUAUGCAAAGGAAAUAAAUUAAUUCGUUGCGCCAUGAUUUCAAAAUAUAACAAAUUCGAGUUUAAAUUUUCCAAGCGCAAGAAAAUGUAACAACUACUAUAAAAUUUCAGUGAACCCAAAGGCAAAGUAUAAGCAUAUAAAUCUCGACAUGAGAGAUAAUCGGGUUGGCGGAACAGAUUCGCUCACAAAUUGAAUAAGAGGAAUAUACGAACUUAGAAGGCGGGAAU